This 292-nucleotide ribosomal RNA is filed under the name uncultured bacterium. RNAcentral describes it as "partial 16S ribosomal RNA". The record is from RNAcentral.
GGACUACCAGGGUAUCUAAUCCCGUUCGCUCCCCUGGCUUUCGUGUCUCAGCGUCGGUACAGCCCCAGUUGCCUGCUUUCGCCAUUGGCGUUCCAAAUGAUAUCUACGCAUUUCACCGCUCCACCAUUUGUUCCGGCAACCCCUAGCUGACCCAAGACACCCAGUAUACCCAGCAGUUCCACGGUUGAGCCGUGGGAUUUCACAAGGUACUUAGGCAUCCGCCUACACACGCUUUAAGCCCAGUGAUUCCGCCUAACGCUUGGCACCUCUGUCUUACCGCGGCUGCUGGCAC